This 402-nucleotide ribosomal RNA is filed under the name bacterium. RNAcentral's name for it is "partial 16S ribosomal RNA". It matches the Rfam family "Bacterial small subunit ribosomal RNA", at positions 355 to 776 of the family's 1533-position model. The record is from RNAcentral.
UGGGGAAUUUUGCACAAUGGGGGAAACCCUGAUGCAGCGCCGCCGCGUGAUUUAGAAGGCCUUCGGGUUGUAAAAAUCUUUUCUAUGGGAAGAAAAUGACAGUACCAUAGGAAUAAGGACCGGCUAAUUACGUGCCAGCAGCCGCGGUAAUACGUAAGGUCCGAGCGUUGUCCGGAAUCAUUGGGCGUAAAGGGUACGUAGGCGGGUAAGCAAGUUAGAAGUGAAAUCCUAUAGCUCAACUAUAGUAAGCUUUUAAAACUGCUCAUCUUGAGGUAUGGAAGGGAAAGUGGAAUUCCUAGUGUAGCGGUGAAAUGCGCAGAUAUUAGGAGGAAUACCGGUGGCGAAGGCGACUUUCUGGCCAUAACCUGACGCUGAGGUACGAAAGCGUGGGUAGCAAACAGG